RNAcentral lists this long non-coding RNA (1764 nucleotides) under Pelobates cultripes (western spadefoot toad). The record is from RNAcentral. Lineage: Eukaryota; Metazoa; Chordata; Amphibia; Anura; Pelobatidae.
GCUUGUGCAGGCUUCAGUGGGUACUGUGGCCUUUGUGGUGGGUUUGCUCCCUCCAUUAGUGUGACAACCACAGGUGGGACGUGUAGGCAUCCAAUGUCAUCUGGGCCUGUGGACCAAAGGUUUGUUGGGACUCUAUCCAGGGCACUGGGGGCAUCUGGGAUCCUUACCUCCUCAGUGGGAGAUGUCAUGUGCAGUAGUAGGGGCAGAGAGCAAAGAACAGAAGUAUAUUUGCGAGAAAGAGGGGUUAAUAACUGAACAUGGCCAUCAGCGGUGAAGGAGAUAGAAGCUUGUAGACGGGACAUCAGCACCUAGCAGGUUAAUAGGACAAGUAGAAGAGACAACAAACUGGGAGAGAAUGUCAGAAUCCACUCGCAAGAGCUUAGUUAGUGGGUUAUUUCGAGGAGUACCAUCAACAUCUACACAAGAGACAUCUGUGUCAGACAGGUAAGAGGAGUCAGGCAGGUCUUGUUCUCUGAGAACACUGCGGGCUGUGCCUGUGUCAACUAAAAAGCUAGUAGGAUGACCAUCUAUGGGUAGGACUACUGUAGCAAAAGGCCCCCCUUUAUCCCCUGUAGACACUGCCAUGACAGGGGUGUUAGACACAGGUUUGCCAGUUACCUAUUGUAAGAGAUCUAAAUGAGAUUGAUCGGGGCCAGUGUAGUGACGUGUGGGUGUUGUAGAGUGACUGACCUGUUGGGCUUGGCGUGUAGGGCGAUGUUGACUGGAUGCAUGACGGUCAUCUUGUUGAUAAUCAUCUGUAUCAUAAUUAUCAGGGGAAUUGUGAACAUGCGGGGUGGAGGGUUAUUAUCAGCUGGAGAUGGCUGAUAGACAGCUUGGGUAUAUUCCUGAGGAUGUACCUGUGGAGGGUAACCUGGCUGGGUGCACCCAUGUGUGACUGCAGGGGCAUUGGGAUAUAUAGUAUAGCUAAACACAGGAUUAGGUGGUCUGGUGGUCGGCUGUUGUUGUCUCUGCACCCUGGGGUGUGGACAAUCUUUCCUGAAAUGACCUGGUUGAUUACAAUUAAAGCAUGCCCUGGUCUGAGGCCUAGGAGUGUGUGUCAUGGGCUGCCCCUGUGUAGCUGGCACGGGAUAUUCUGCAGGAACUGGGGUGGGUCUAACUGUAGAACUAUAAAAGGAAAGCAUAAGGGGAUUACUUUUCCUUUGCGGCAGAUGGAGUGCAGAUUCGAGGCCUUUAGCAACCUGGAGGAGAGUGUCCAAAGGAAUAAUCGUAUAAUCAGGGCGGGAAAGUACUAAACCUUUCCUGAUGGCUUCUUUAAGGCCUGCAACAAAGGCAGCGGAUAACAUCUGGGUAUGUGCCUUGUUGUAUACACUGAACCCUAGAUCAGAGAAAGUUUGAGUCAACCGUGAGUGGUAUUUCUCUACAGACUCAAGUUUAUCUUGUAUAAUGUCAUUUUUACAGGUGGCUUGGUCAGCUAAUUUAUCCUGAGCCCAGGCUGGAAGCUGUUCACAGAAUGUGAUACCCAACUGGAAAUCCAUAUCUGUAGUGAGGAUGGCGUCAUUAAAACUACUUUCCAUAAUGGGCCAAUUGGCAUCCCCAGCUUUGAUUUCACAAAGACUAAACAAAUCCUGAGUAUGUCUUGCGAAUAUGGGCAACCCUCCGAAAGAAGGGCAUGGCCUGCUUCUAGGGGUCAGGGAGAGAGUUUACUAGAGUUGUGGCUUGGGACGGGUUGAAAGCCACAUACAUCGGGGGAGCCCCUUCCACGGUUGGUAAGGCGUGGUUGUGGCUGGCAGCGGUGGGCUGUCU